AAUCCAUAGGUUAAUGAGGCGAACCGGGGGAACUGAAACAUCUAAGUACCCCGAGGAAAAGAAAUCAACCGAGAUUCCCCCAGUAGCGGCGAGCGAACGGGGAGGAGCCCAGAGCCUGAAUCAGCAUGUGUGUUAGUGGAAGCGUCUGGAAAGGCGCGCGAUACAGGGUGACAGCCCCGUACACAAAAGCGCAUGUGCUGUGAGCUCGAUGAGUAGGGCGGGACACGUGGUAUCCUGUCUGAAUAUGGGGGGACCAUCCUCCAAGGCUAAAUACUCCUGACUGACCGAUAGUGAACCAGUACCGUGAGGGAAAGGCGAAAAGAACCCCGGCGAGGGGAGUGAAAAAGAACCUGAAACCGUGUACGUACAAGCAGUGGGAGCCCCACCACUAAGCCAGUGGUGAACUCCACAUACGCAUCCUUUGCUGAGGAUACGGUUAACGGAGCGAAAGCGACGUUCAACCUCAAAAGAAGCAGAGGGGGCUUAGUGGUGGGGUGACUGCGUACCUUUUGUAUAAUGGGUCAGCGACUUAUAUUCUGUAGCAAGGUUAACCGAAUAGGGGAGCCGGAGGGAAACCGAGUCUUAAUUGGGCGUUAAGUUGCAGGGUAUAGACCCGAAACCCGGUGAUCUAGCCAUGGGCAGGUUGAAGGUUGGGUAACACUAACUGGAGGACCGAACCGACUAAUGUUGAAAAAUUAGCGGAUGACCUGUGGCUGGGGGUGAAAGGCCAAUCAAACCGGGAGAUAGCUGGUUCUCCCCGAAAGCUAUUUAGGUAGCGCCUCGUGAAUUCAUCUCCGGGGGUAGAGCACUGUUUCGGCUAGGGGGCCAUCCCGGCUUACCAACCCGAUGCAAACUGCGAAUACCGGAGAAUGUUAUCACGGGAGACACACGGCGGGUGCUAACGUCCGUCGUGAAGAGGGAAACAACCCAGACCGCCAGCUAAGGUCCCAAAGUCAUGGUUAAGUGGGAAACGAUGUGGGAAGGCCCAGACAGCCAGGAUGUUGGCUUAGAAGCAGCCAUCAUUUAAAGAAAGCGUAAUAGCUCACUGGUCGAGUCGGCCUGCGCGGAAGAUGUAACGGGGCUAAACCAU
Molecule: ribosomal RNA, 1090 nt
Filed under: Salmonella enterica subsp. enterica serovar Senftenberg
Lineage: Bacteria; Pseudomonadati; Pseudomonadota; Gammaproteobacteria; Enterobacterales; Enterobacteriaceae
Also listed under: 2 other names
Description: partial 23S ribosomal RNA
Rfam family: Bacterial large subunit ribosomal RNA
Source: RNAcentral